UACGUAGGGUGCGAGCGUUAAUCGGAAUUACUGGGCGUAAAGCGUGCGCAGGCGGUUUUGUAAGUCAGAUGUGAAAUCCCCGGGCUUAACCUGGGAACUGCGUUUGAAACUACAAGGCUAGAGUGUGGCAGAGGGGGGUGGAAUUCCACGUGUAGCAGUGAAAUGCGUAGAGAUGUGGAGGAACACCGAUGGCGAAGGCAGCCCCCUGGGCUAACACUGACGCUGAGGCGCGAAAGCGUGGGGAGCAAACAGG
Molecule: ribosomal RNA, 253 nt
Filed under: uncultured bacterium
Lineage: Bacteria
Description: partial 16S ribosomal RNA
Rfam family: Bacterial small subunit ribosomal RNA
Source: RNAcentral